This 253-nucleotide ribosomal RNA is filed under the name uncultured microorganism. Its description in RNAcentral is "partial 16S ribosomal RNA". It matches the Rfam family "Bacterial small subunit ribosomal RNA", at positions 524 to 776 of the family's 1533-position model. The record is from RNAcentral.
UACGGAGGGUGCGAGCGUUAAUCGGAUUUACUGGGCGUAAAGCGUGCGCAGGCGGCCCGUUAAGACAGGUGUGAAAUCCCUGGGCUCAACCUAGGAAUUGCGCUUGUGACUGGCGGGCUAGAGUACGGUAGAGGGGGGUGGAAUUCCUGGUGUAGCAGUGAAAUGCGUAGAGAUCAGGAGGAACACCGAUGGCGAAGGCAGCCCCCUGGGCCUGUACUGACGCUCAGGCACGAAAGCGUGGGGAGCAAACAGG